AAACAAGCAAAUAAAUUAAAACUUUCAACAACGGAUCUCUUGGCUCUGGCAUCGAUGAAGAACGCAUCGAAAUGCGAUAAGUAAUGUGAAUUGCAGAAUUCAGUGAAUCAUCGAAUCUUUGAACGCACAUUGCGCCCGCCAGUAUUCUGGCGGGCAUGCCUGUUCGAGCGUCAUUACAACCCUCAGGCCCCCGGGCCUGGCGUUGGGGAUCGGCGGAAGCCCCCUGCGGGCACAACGCCGUCCCCCAAAUACAGUGGCGGUCCCGCCGCAGCUUCCAUUGCGUAGUAGCUAACACCUCGCAACUGGAGAGCGGCGCGGCCACGCCGUAAAACACCCAACUUCUGAAUGUUGA
RNAcentral lists this ribosomal RNA (352 nucleotides) under Fusarium solani. RNAcentral's name for it is "eukaryotic LSU rRNA". The stretch from base 20 to 173 matches the Rfam family "5.8S ribosomal RNA". The record is from RNAcentral. Lineage: Eukaryota; Fungi; Ascomycota; Sordariomycetes; Hypocreales; Nectriaceae.